RNAcentral lists this unclassified non-coding RNA (207 nucleotides) under Hevea brasiliensis (rubber tree). The record is from RNAcentral. Lineage: Eukaryota; Viridiplantae; Streptophyta; Magnoliopsida; Malpighiales; Euphorbiaceae.
CUCCAGCAAUUCCAGGGGCACCAACUGGUCCUUGAAGACCUGGGGGACCGGGAGGGCCAUUUUCUCCCUUGUCACCCUUGCUGCCUUUUUGUCCCGGCUCACCAAUUUCACCCUUGUCUCCGUCUUCCCCAGGGGAGCCGGCAGGACCAGCUGGCCCUGGGAGACCAACAGGACCUUGAACUCCAUCUCUCCCUGCAGGCCCUUGGG